Molecule: ribosomal RNA, 492 nt
Filed under: uncultured bacterium
Lineage: Bacteria
Description: partial 16S ribosomal RNA
Rfam family: Bacterial small subunit ribosomal RNA
Source: RNAcentral
AGUGAACGCUGGCGGUAGGCCUAACACAUGCCAGUCGAACGGCAGCACAGUAAGAGCUUGCUCUUACGGGUGGCGAGUGGCGGACGGGUGAGGAAUACAUCGGAAUCUACUUUUUCGUGGGUGAUAACGUAGGGAAACUUACGCUAAUACCUCAUACGACCUACGGGUGAAAGCAGGGGAUCUUCGGACCUUUCGCGAUUGAAUGAGCCGAUGUCGGAUUAGCUAGUUGGCGGGGUAAAGGCCCACCAAGGCGACGAUCCGUAGCUGGUCUGAGAGGAUGAUCAGCCAAACUGGAACUGAGACACGGUACAGACUCCUACGGGAGGAAGAAGUGGGGAAUAUUGGACAAUGGGCGCAAGCCUGAUCCAGCCAUACCGCGUGGGUGAAGAAGGCCUUCGGGUUGUAAAGCCCUUUUGUUGGGAAAGAAAAGCAGCAGGUUAAUACCCCGCUGUUCUGACGGUACCCAAAGAAUAAGCACCGGCUAACUUCGUG